CGGUAAGAGGGAUGAUGUACUAUUACCGUGCUCUUGAGAUGCUUACUUUUCUGGAUUCUGCUUCUGAGAUGGAUAUGAGAG
Andrographis paniculata is the source of this 81-nucleotide small nucleolar RNA. RefSeq annotates it as small nucleolar RNA J33. The record is from RefSeq and is a predicted model, not a curated record. The transcript has a single exon. Lineage: Eukaryota; Viridiplantae; Streptophyta; Magnoliopsida; Lamiales; Acanthaceae.